GGACGGUUAGCUGAGACAGAUUAGCGCGACGCUGAAAACGUCGAGAGGUUGGCGCGAUACCAACACCGUCCACCA
RNAcentral lists this transfer RNA (75 nucleotides) under Acidobacteriota bacterium. RNAcentral's name for it is "tRNA-Phe". Lineage: Bacteria; Pseudomonadati; Acidobacteriota. The record is from RNAcentral.